ACAUUCUCACCCUCUUUUCUCCCAGGUCACAAAGUGGGCAGCCAGCCAAAGAGUGGCCAGGACUGGGGAUGGGCCCAUGCAGGUGUGGACAGAUUUGCUGUGCUCUCUGACAUAUGGACUUGGGAAGCAGCUCUUCUGGAAAACAAGCGCCAGCUUCUUGACAGUUACUUUGAAGCCUACCAGCACACGUUGGACCCUGAGGAGAGGUUCGCCUUAGCACAAGUGAUGACGGACAUCGUGCACCGGCGCCCGAGGUUUGAUCUCAGCCACCCCUAUUUCGUUAAGGCCUACCGAGAGGAAUGCACCUGCCUGAGGCUUCACCUGCAGUUAGUGAGGGGCAUCAUCACCCAGCAGGUGAGUGUAGUUGGGUUUUAAAAUACUACGUGUGAGAAGAGGAUGGAAAACACAGGCCAGAAAUGAAAAUAGUGUUUUCCUUCCAUUGCAGAUCUGAAAUCUGUGUUUUCUAGGCCAGCAUGUACAGCUGACUUAUUUGUAAGCUCAUUUGCGUUGUUGAAAUCCCAGUGUAACUAUGGUCUUAAAGAGAGAUUUCCACCCCUAAUUAGAGUUAAUAGUCCACAAGGAAUUGAUGACCUUAGUUUUCAUUAGAUUGCAAAGUUUAUUUGUAGUGAAAGAAGAACUAAUGAUACAUCUUUUUGACAUUAAUGUAUAAAAUUUUGUUUAUUUUUUUUAAAGUGUGAUUAUUUUUAGGACACUGAAAGAAACCAUCAUAUUGUAUGUCCUCUAGGGAAACGCUAAUGACAUGAAGCAAGCAAGAGACAAAGAAUUGUUGCCACCUGGUUGAAAUUUUUUCCAUGUAGUCAAUUAUUUAACAGAAAGAUUUCUCUUUUGCUUCUUAAACUUGUCUGAAGUCAGUUGUCUUUGCUUCCCUUGGCUAUCUGGCUCAGACUGAGAAACCAGCCCAUUGCAAAAGAGUCUUCAAAACAAUGUCAGGGUGAAAAUUAGUCAAAUGAUGAAGAGACACAAAGGGACGAAAUCCUUCUCAUGUCAAGGCUUAUAACUCAUGGCUGUGGGAAAGUUUAACUUUUCUAAUUUUAAUGUUUACGCUGCAUUUUUAGAUAGAAUGUCAGCAGGAGUAUGUCCAGAGGAUUUGGCGAGAGGAUCAUCUGGACAAUAGCAAUACAUUUGGACUUCCCCUUAAUAUAGUUUGCAAACAACUUAUUUCCAUCAACAAUAGCUGGUAAGUUGAUGUUGUCUUUAUACAUUUUAUGUGUGAUCUUCUAGAUUAAUUAAGGAUAGAGUGUUAAAUCUCAGUACUACUCUAUAAAGCACUUCUCAAGUGCUUGGGGGAGAUGAAAGAAAUAGGUACAAAGGCCACAAAGGAGGGAUUCCCUUGUAUAUUGAGUAUCUUUUUGUUUUGUGAAUAAUAAAGAAUAGGAGGCUAGAAUUUAAACAUAUGCCGCUGGGUACAGAAUCAUCAUUCUCUUGAAAAGGCCUGGGGAAAAAGCAGUUGCUCUUGAGAUGCUGUCAGGAUUUAACCAGAUGCACCACACGAGCCUACAUGUAUAAAGCUUGAAGGUGCUUAAAAGCUUCUUAAAAAGGAAUUUAAGUGUCACUAAAGAGGUUUCUGCAGAUUUGCCUUGGAGGGUCACAACAGAGUUAAAUUUAAGGAACAGAGUUAAAUUUCCUGUGACCACUCAGAGAUGGUACACACUUUGUCACCCCCUAGAU
Molecule: long non-coding RNA, 1689 nt
Filed under: Papio anubis (olive baboon)
Lineage: Eukaryota; Metazoa; Chordata; Mammalia; Primates; Cercopithecidae
Description: lncRNA (ENSPANG00000046830.1)
Source: RNAcentral